RNAcentral lists this small RNA (533 nucleotides) under Pongo abelii (Sumatran orangutan). RNAcentral describes it as "processed transcript". The record is from RNAcentral. Lineage: Eukaryota; Metazoa; Chordata; Mammalia; Primates; Hominidae.
GCAUUUCCAGAUUGGGGCUCGGGCUGCGCCUCCUCCGGGACCCUCCCCUUGGACCGAGCCGAUCGCCGCGGGGCAGUUCGGGCCGGCUGUCCUGGCGCGGUGAAGGUGAUAAAGUAAAGUGCUUUCACUGUGGAGGAGGGCUAACUGAUUGGAAGCCCACUGAAGACCCUUGGGAACAACAUGCUAAAUGGUAUCCAGGGUGUAAAUAUCUGUUAGAACAGAAGGGACAAGAAUAUAUAAACAAUAUUCAUUUAACUCAUUCACUUGAGGAGUGUCUGGUAAGAACUACUGAGAAAACACCAUCACUAACUAGAAGAAUUGAUGACACCAUCUUCCAAAAUCCUAUGGUACAAGAAGCUAUACGAAUGGGUUUCAGUUUCAAGGACAUUAAGAAAAUAAUGGAGGAAAAAAUUCAGAUAUCUGGGAGCAACUAUAAAUCACUUGAGGUUCUGAUUGCAGAUCUAGUGAAUGCUCAGAAAGACAGUACGCAAGAUGAGUCAAGUCAGACUUCAUUACAGAAAGAGAUUAGUACU